Molecule: ribosomal RNA, 442 nt
Filed under: uncultured bacterium
Lineage: Bacteria
Description: partial 16S ribosomal RNA
Rfam family: Bacterial small subunit ribosomal RNA
Source: RNAcentral
CUACGGGGCGCUGCAGCAAGGAAUAUUGGGCAAUGGGCGAAAGCCUGACCCAGCGACACCGCGUGGGGGAAGAAGGCCCUCGGGUUGUAAACCCCUUUUAUCAGGGAAGAAUAAAAUGACGGUACCUGAUGAAUAAGCCCCGGCUAACUACGUGCCAGCAGCCGCGUUAAUACGUAGGGGGCGAGCGUUAUCCGGAUUUACUGGGCGUAAAGAGAGCGUAGGCGGCCUAUCAAGUCAGAUGUGAAAUCUCCUGGCUUAACUGGGAGGGUGCAUUUGAUACUGAUGGGCUAGAGUGCAGCAGAGGGAGGCGGAAUUCCCGGUGUAGUGGUGAAAUGCGUAGAUAUCGGGAAGAACACUAGUGGCGAAGGCGGCUUCCUGGGCUGUAACUGACGCUGAGGCUCGAAGGCGUGGGUAGCAAACAGGAUUAGAUACCCUGGUAGUC